Oncorhynchus tshawytscha (Chinook salmon) is the source of this 924-nucleotide long non-coding RNA. The record is from Ensembl. NCBI's taxonomy places the organism in Eukaryota, Metazoa, Chordata, Actinopteri, Salmoniformes, Salmonidae.
AGAUACAGAGGGUUAGAGAGGUUCUCCAUAGAUACAGAGGGUUAGAGAGGUUCUCCAUAGAUACAGAGGGUUAGAGGUUCUCCAUAGAUACAGAGGGUUAGAGAGGUUCUCCAUAGAUACAGAGGGUUAGAGAGGUUCUCCAUAGAUACAGAGGGUUAGAGGUUCUCCAUAGAUACAGAGGGUUAGAGAGGUUCUCCAUAGAUACAGAGGGUUAGAGGUUCUCCAUAGAUACAGAGGGUUAGAGGUUCUCCAUAGAUACAGAGGGUUAGAGAGGUUCUCCAUAGAUAGAGGGUUAGAGGUUCUCCAUAGAUACAGAGGGUUAGAGAGGUUCUCCAUAGAUACAGAGGGUUAGAGAGGUUCUCCAUAGAUACAGAGGGUUAGAGAGGUUCUCCAUAGAUACAGAGGGUUAGAGGUUCUCCAUAGGAUACAGAGGGUUAGAGAGGUUCUCCAUAGAUACAGAGGGUUAGAGAGGUUCUCCAUAGAUACAGAGGGUUAGAGGUUCUCCAUAGAUACAGAGGGUUAGAGGUUCUCCAUAGGAUACAGAGGGUUAGAGAGGUUCUCCAUAGAUACAGAGGGUUAGAGAGGUUCUCCAUAGGAUACAGAGGGUUAGAGGUUCUCCAUAGAUACAGAGGGUUAGAGGUUCUCCAUAGAUACAGAGGGUUAGAGAGGUUCUCCAUAGAUACAGAGGGUUAGAGGUUCUCCAUAGGAUACAGAGGGUUAGAGGUUCUCCAUAGAUACAGAGGGUUAGAGAGGUUCUCCAUAGAUACAGAGGGUUAGAGAGGUUCUCCAUAGGAUACAGAGGGUUAGAGAGGUUCUCCAUAGAUACAGAGGGUUAGAGAGGUUCUCCAUAGAUACAGAGGGUUAGAGAGGUUCUCCAUAGAUACAGAGGGUUAGAGGUUCUCCAUAGGAUACAGAGGGUGAGAG